ACUUUCAGUAUAUGCUAAUGAGGUGCUAACUGGCACCGGCCAGGCAAACUGCCAUUCUGACGUCAGUGCCGCCUGCCGCAGCGCCGGCCAGCUCAUCAAUAUUCCUCCCCUCCCUCUGCCUCUCCCCACUCUGUAAUGAAGAGAGAGGGGAGGAAUAUUGAUGAGCUGGGUGGCGCUGCGGCCAGGGGCACUGAUGUCAGAGUGCCAGUUAGCCCAGCCGAUGCCAGUAAGCACUUCAUUAACAUAUACUGAAAAUAGAACAUUACAGCCGAACGGCGUGGCGGAUCUGGGCACGGAAUCUUAGAAUUCGACUCUGAAAGUCUAAUUGAUACAAACAACUAUAAAUGUCUUCACAUUCCUCAUGCUUCUAUAGAUAUAUUGCAUUUGCAAAUGGCGGCACAGAACAUCACAAUGCAGUAGCAAAUCUGAAUUGUACUGAAAACUUAAAGGUGCUGUGUAACAGAGAACCUUAAAAACAAGUGAAUGAGGAGGUUGAUAAGUGAUGUACACCUUCUUUGACUGCAAUAACUGCAUGCAUAUGCAGACCUACACAAGCACUGUGCAAGCACAAAGCAAACAUGCAGACAGAGGAUGCUAUGGAUACAGUAGUCACAAGAUGACCAGCAAGGAAAAAUGUGCAAGGCUUUACAGACAAGGAUAUUGCUCCUUGUAAAAUUGCCCCCUAAAUCAAGCAUUUAUUGAAUUAUCAAGAACUUAGAGGAGAGUGGCUCAAUUGCGGUGAAGAAGGCUUCGGGGUGCCCACCAAAGUCCAGCAAGUGCCAGGGCCAUCUCUCCUAAGGGGACACAUAUGGAAUUGUUCCAGCACCAGUGCAGAGCUUGCUCAGGAACAGCAGCAGGACGGUAUUAGAGCAUCUGCACGCACAGUGAGACUGAGGCUUUUGGAAGCUGGCCUGGUGUCCAGAAAGGCAGCAAAGAAACCAAUACUCUCCAAGAAAAACACCACGGGCAGACUGACAUAGGGUACAGGGAUUGGACAGAGAAGAUUGGGGUAAAGUUAUUUUCUGAGGAAGCUCCCUUCAGACUGUUUGGGACAUCUGGAAGAAUAAUUGUCCAGAUAAAAAAAGAUGGAACGCCAUCAAUCUAUGGCGGGUGAGCAGGAACUCCUAGGCACAGUUUUUUGUUGGUUUACAGAUUGAGGAAUGGGAUUUCUACCGAUUUUAGACCUAGAUUUUGUGGUUUUGGUGUUUAAACUAGCAUCUUUUGAAGCAACAAGACUCUUCCCUGUAUUUUCCUCAGUUACUGCUUGUUUAGCCAAGCUUUCAGGAUGAUUUUCAGCUCUGAUUUCUACAAUCGACGUAUCCGUUUCAGUAAGAAGAUUAUUGCUGGGAUCUAAAACUUCAGCAGAAAUAAAAGAAGUUUCUGCAAUGUCAUCUUGUGU
Long non-coding RNA from Hyla sarda, 1399 nucleotides. RefSeq lists it as uncharacterized. The record is from RefSeq and is a predicted model, not a curated record. The transcript has 7 exons. NCBI's taxonomy places the organism in Eukaryota, Metazoa, Chordata, Amphibia, Anura, Hylidae.